This 253-nucleotide ribosomal RNA is filed under the name uncultured bacterium. RNAcentral's name for it is "partial 16S ribosomal RNA". It matches the Rfam family "Bacterial small subunit ribosomal RNA", at positions 524 to 776 of the family's 1533-position model. The record is from RNAcentral.
UACGUAGGGCGCAAGCGUUGUCCGGAAUUAUUGGGCGUAAAGAGCUCGUAGGUGGUCUGUUACGUCUGCUGUGAAAUCCCGGGGCUCAACCCCGGGCGUGCAGUGGAUACGGGCUGGCUAGAGGCAGGCAGGGGAGAACGGAAUUCCCGGUGUAGCGGUGAAAUGCGCAGAUAUCGGGAGGAACACCGGUGGCGAAGGCGGUUCUCUGGGCCUGUACUGACGCUGAGGAGCGAAAGCGUGGGGAGCGAACAGG